GUGCUCACUUCGGCAGCACAUAUACUAAAAUUGGAACAAUACAGAGAAGUUUAGCAUGGUCCCUGCACAAGGAUGACACGCAAAUUCAUGAAGUGUUCCAUGUUUAU
Molecule: small nuclear RNA, 107 nt
Filed under: Octodon degus (degu)
Lineage: Eukaryota; Metazoa; Chordata; Mammalia; Rodentia; Octodontidae
Source: RNAcentral